GACGAACGCUGGCGGCGUGCCUAAUACAUGCAAGUCGAACGAAGCUUUUUUAACUGGUGCUUGCACCGACUUAAACAACUGAGUGGCGAACGGGUGAGUAACACGUGGGUAACCUGCCCCAAAGCGGGGGAUAACAUUUGGAAACAGAUGCCAAUACCGCAUAACCACAGAAACCACAUGGUUUCUGUGUCAAAGAUGGUUUCGGCUAUCACUUUGGGAUGGACCCGCGGCGUAUUAGCUAGUUGGUAAGGUAAUGGCUUACCAAGGCAAUGAUACGUAGCCGAACUGAGAGGUUGAUCGGCCACAUUGGGACUGAGACACGGCCCAAACUCCUACGGGAGGCAGCAGUAGGGAAUCUUCCACAAUGGACGAAAGUCUGAUGGAGCAACGCCGCGUGAGUGAAGAAGGUUUUCGGAUCGUAAAACUCUGUUGUUAAAGAAGAACGUAUCUAAGAGUAACUGCUUAGGUAGUGACGGUAUUUAACCAGAAAGCCACGGCUAACUACGUGCCAGCAGCCGCAGUAA
RNAcentral lists this ribosomal RNA (524 nucleotides) under uncultured bacterium. RNAcentral's name for it is "partial 16S ribosomal RNA". It matches the Rfam family "Bacterial small subunit ribosomal RNA", at positions 28 to 523 of the family's 1533-position model. The record is from RNAcentral.